This 301-nucleotide ribosomal RNA is filed under the name uncultured bacterium. RNAcentral's name for it is "partial 16S ribosomal RNA". It matches the Rfam family "Bacterial small subunit ribosomal RNA", at positions 509 to 807 of the family's 1533-position model. The record is from RNAcentral.
CAGCCGCCACGGGAAUACGAAGGGGGCUAGCGUUGUUCGGAAUUAUUGGGCGUAAAGGGUGCGUAGGCGGCUUGACAAGUCUUGUGUGAAAUCUAUGGGCUCAACCCAUAGUCUGCACGGGAAACUGUCGGGCUUGAGAAUGGGAGAGGUGAGUGGAAUUUCCGGUGUAGCGGUGAAAUGCGUAGAUAUCGGAAGGAACACCUGUGGCGAAAGCGGCUCACUGGACCAUUUCUGACGCUGACGCACGAAAGCUAGGGGAGCAAACAGGAUUAGAUACCCCCGUAGUCCCUGUCUCUUAUAC